GCCGGGAUAGCUCAGUUGGUAGAGCAGAGGACUGAAAAUCCUCGUGUCCGCGGUUCAAGCCCGCGUCCUGGCA
RNAcentral lists this transfer RNA (73 nucleotides) under Oscillatoriales cyanobacterium SM2_1_8. Its description in RNAcentral is "tRNA-Phe". It matches the Rfam family "tRNA". From Rfam's summary of the family: Transfer RNA (tRNA) molecules are approximately 80 nucleotides in length. Their secondary structure includes four short double-helical elements and three loops (D, anti-codon, and T loops). Lineage: Bacteria; Bacillati; Cyanobacteriota; Cyanophyceae; Oscillatoriales. The record is from RNAcentral.